AUAGAAUCACGGAGUUGAUGGAGACAGUGUACGGUUUCGCUUCUCACCGCAGGACUGACCAGCUUUGGAAUUGUUACACUCAGUUUUCCUCUUUGGGCAUAGUUCGUGGGAUGGCCCUAGAACGAAGGCUCAUGAUAGUUCAUUUGGAAACUACAGACAAAUACCAAGGAAACAAUGAUCCCAUUGCUCAAAGUCAAUCACAGGAGGAAUUUCUCUGGAGGAACAAGAAGAAACAAUGUCUUAUUGGACUGCUUGACAAGGAAGCUUAUGGAAGAUAACUGGUUUCUUGAGGUCUGCCCUCUACAGAGGAGAACCAUUGUUCGAGAGGCAAGGAGAGCUUGGCAGAUUCUAGUCCGGACUCUGUCACUAAUCAGUUGGUGGCCAAGGAUGGGUUCAGCAGGGGUGGCUGGCUGAUACAGGGGCGGAAGUCAGGCUCAGAGUCAGACAGACCGGUGUUCUGAUGCUGACCCUGACUCUUAACUAACUGUGUAAAUAUGAACAAAGCCUUUCUAAGCCUCUUCUCCUCAGGUUUAUUCUUUCCACUGAAAGUGACAAAGAAAUUGCUUCAAACUUGUUCUGGUCCUAGAUCUGUUUCCCAAGCAGUCUGCCUGGCUGGGAAAUAUAGCUCGUACUGGGGACCACUUUGCUGUGCAAACAAGGAUGAGCUAUUUGCCCAAGGCCCUGCCUCAGCAGACUGUUACACGCUGUUAACACUUUGUGGGAGUUCCUGGGAAUACAUAGAAUUUAUCUACAUCCAUGUCAUCUUUGGAUGCUUGACCUGUCUUAUAUAGUUCUCUACCCCAGUAACUCAGCCCAGUCCCAUCAGGUCUCAUAUGUUCCUAGUCAAGUUACAGAACAUUCUCUUGCUGCUGUCCUUGAAGCAUCCUUUGACUUCAGAUGAUCUUCUCAAGGGGUAUCCAGGGCCAGAAAAUAUAUAUGGGGCUGCUCGGGACUGAGUUAAGGCUGACUGCAAAGGCAAUUCAUUGCCAUGCAUUCACUGGCUUAUCAAAUGUAUUACUGAGCUCCUAUCAGCAGCUGCUUCGUGUUAGAUGCCAAGGACACAGAGAUAAAAGGCGGGGUCCCUGCCUUCAAGUGGAGCACAGCUGCACCAUGCGCUGGUGAAAGCCGGCCAUGUGUGCUAAUCCUGACCUGCCUCUUACAAAGGUAUAGAUGUGGACAAAGCCUUUCUAAGCUUCAUUUUCCACAUCUCUGAAGUGGGAAUAAUAAUCUCUUACUUCACAAGGGCG
This is a long non-coding RNA of Hipposideros armiger (great roundleaf bat), 1247 nucleotides long. RefSeq lists it as uncharacterized. The record is from RefSeq and is a predicted model, not a curated record. The transcript is spliced from 3 exons. Lineage: Eukaryota; Metazoa; Chordata; Mammalia; Chiroptera; Hipposideridae.